GCGUGAGUGAAGAAGGCCUUCGGGUUGUAAAGCUCUUUUGUCAGGGACGAUAAUGACGGUACCUGAAGAAUAAGCCCCGGCAAACUUCGUGCCAGCAGCCGCGGUAAUACGAAGGGGGCUAGCGUUGUUCGGAUUUACUGGGCGUAAAGCGCACGUAGGUGGACAGUUAAGUGAGGGGUGAAAUCCCGAGGCUCAACCUCGGAACUGCCUUUCAUACUGGCUGUCUUGAGUUCGGAAGAGGUGAGUGGAAUUCCAAGUGUAGAGGUGAAAUUCGU
This 275-nucleotide ribosomal RNA is filed under the name uncultured bacterium. RNAcentral describes it as "partial 16S ribosomal RNA". It matches the Rfam family "Bacterial small subunit ribosomal RNA", at positions 399 to 691 of the family's 1533-position model. The record is from RNAcentral.